RNAcentral lists this ribosomal RNA (493 nucleotides) under uncultured bacterium. Its description in RNAcentral is "bacterial SSU rRNA". It matches the Rfam family "Bacterial small subunit ribosomal RNA", at positions 29 to 526 of the family's 1533-position model. The record is from RNAcentral.
AAUGAACGUUGGCGGCAUGGAUUAGGCAUGCAAGUCGAGCGAGAAGAGUUUGGUAGCUUGCUAUUGAACUUGGACAGCGGCGAAAGGGAGAGUAACGCGUAGUUAUGUGCCCAGGGGUUCGGAAUAGCCACGGGAAACUGUGGGUAAUGCCGAAUAACAUCUCCGGAUCAAAGGUGUGAUUCCGCCCUUGGAGCAGACUGCGUCCUACUAGCUUGUUGGUGGGGUAAUGGCCUACCAAGGCGACGAUGGGUAGCGGGUGUGAGAGCAUGACCCGUCUCACUGGGACUGAGACACUGCCCAGACACCUACGGGUGGCUGCAGUCGAGAAUCUUCGGCAAUGAGCGAAAGCUUGACCGAGCGAUGCCGCGUGUGGGAUGAAGGCCCUCGGGUUGUAAACCACUGUCGUAGGGGAGGAAGGCUUCGUGAAGAACGGAGUUUGACCUAUCCUAGGAGGAAGUACGGGCUAAGUACGUGCCAGCCGCCGCAGUAACAC